Molecule: small nucleolar RNA, 136 nt
Organism: Tachyglossus aculeatus (Australian echidna)
Lineage: Eukaryota; Metazoa; Chordata; Mammalia; Monotremata; Tachyglossidae
Source: RefSeq, a predicted model, not a curated record
UCCCUCUCAGGGUCACACCUGGAGGGUUUCCAGUCCUCUACCAGUCUCGACUACGGGAGGGAGAGUCAAGCAGAGGCCUCCAUACCAUUUCUAGUUUGGUCAGUGGCUAGCGAGUGGAAGGCAAUCUGCUACAAGU